UCCACCUCUGGGGGCAGGGCACAGACAAACAAAAGGACAGCAGUAACCUCUGCAGACUUAAAUGUCCCUGUCUGACAGCUUUGAAGAGAGCAGUGGUUCUCCCAGCACGCAGCUGGAGAUCUGAGAACGGGCAGACUGCCUCCUCAAGUGUGUCCCUGACCCCUGACCCCUGAGCAGCCUAACUGGGAGGCACCCCCCAGUAGGGGCAGACUGACACUUCACACGGCCGGGUACUCCUCUGAGACAAAACUUCCAGAGGAAUGAUCAGACAGCUGCAUUCGCGGUUCAUGAAAAACUGCUGUUCUGCAAACACCGCUGCGGAUACCCAGGCAAACAGGGUCUGGAGUGGACCUCUAGCAAACUCCAACAGACCUGCAGCUGAGUGUCCUGUCUGUUAGAAGGAAAACUAACAAAGAGAAAGGACAUCCACACCAAAAACCCGUCUGUACAUCACCAUCAUCAAAGACCAAAAUUCAGUUCUAGGAAGUAAAACCAGCCCAUUGGUGGGUAACACAUGGAGAAACCAGGAAGCUCUGCUGGUGACUGAUAAGGUCAUGAGAUUCUGCUGAGACACAUAAAUCAACCAGCCACUGGAUCAAUCAGACAAGUGAGCUAGAAACAGUGGGGAGCUCUUCUCUUUCUAAAGAAGAACAGGAAAAACUUCCUCCCAUGGUGUGAC
Molecule: long non-coding RNA, 679 nt
Filed under: Homo sapiens (human)
Lineage: Eukaryota; Metazoa; Chordata; Mammalia; Primates; Hominidae
Description: HSALNT0073470
Source: RNAcentral